This 630-nucleotide ribosomal RNA is filed under the name bacterium. Its description in RNAcentral is "bacterial SSU rRNA". It matches the Rfam family "Bacterial small subunit ribosomal RNA", at positions 78 to 691 of the family's 1533-position model. The record is from RNAcentral.
GCUUGCUCCUCUGACGUUAGCGGCGGACGGGUGAGUAACACGUGGAUAACCUACCUAUAAGACUGGGAUAACUUCGGGAAACCGGAGCUAAUACCGGAUAAUAUAUUGAACCGCAUGGUUCAAUAGUGAAAGACGGUUUUGCUGUCACUUAUAGAUGGAUCCGCGCCGCAUUAGCUAGUUGGUAAGGUAACGGCUUACCAAGGCAACGAUGCGUAGCCGACCUGAGAGGGUGAUCGGCCACACUGGAACUGAGACACGGUCCAGACUCCUACGGGAGGCAGCAGUAGGGAAUCUUCCGCAAUGGGCGAAAGCCUGACGGAGCAACGCCGCGUGAGUGAUGAAGGUCUUCGGAUCGUAAAACUCUGUUAUUAGGGAAGAACAAAUGUGUAAGUAACUAUGCACGUCUUGACGGUACCUAAUCAGAAAGCCACGGCUAACUACGUGCCAGCAGCCGCGGUAAUACGUAGGUGGCAAGCGUUAUCCGGAAUUAUUGGGCGUAAAGCGCGCGUAGGCGGUUUUUUAAGUCUGAUGUGAAAGCCCACGGCUCAACCGUGGAGGGUCAUUGGAAACUGGAAAACUUGAGUGCAGAAGAGGAAAGUGGAAUUCCAUGGGUUUAGCGGUGAAAAGUAG